RNAcentral lists this ribosomal RNA (442 nucleotides) under uncultured bacterium. RNAcentral's name for it is "partial 16S ribosomal RNA". It matches the Rfam family "Bacterial small subunit ribosomal RNA", at positions 338 to 795 of the family's 1533-position model. The record is from RNAcentral.
CCUACGGGAGGCAGCAGUGGGGAAUAUUGGGCAAUGGGCGCAAGCCUGACCCAGCAACGCCGCGUGAAGGAAGAAGGCUCUCGGGUUGUUAACUUCUUUUAAGAGGGAAGAGCAGAAGACGGUACCUCUUGAAUAAGCCACGGCUAAAUACGUGCCAGCAGCCGAGGUAAUACGGAGGUGGCAAGCGUUGUCCGGAUUUACGGGGUGUAAAGGGAGUGCAGCCGGGAAGACAAGUCAGAUGUGAAAUCCCGGGGCUCAACCGCGGAACUGCAUUUGAAACUGUUUUUCUUGAGUACCGGAGAGGUAAUCGGAAUUCCUUGUGUAGCGGUGAAAUGCGUAGAUAUAAGGAAGAACACCAGUGGCGAAGGCGGAUGACUGGCCGCCAACUGACGGUGAGGCGCGAAAGCGUGGGGAGCAAACAGGAUUAGAUACCCCUGUAGUC